Molecule: long non-coding RNA, 1703 nt
Filed under: Citrus x clementina
Lineage: Eukaryota; Viridiplantae; Streptophyta; Magnoliopsida; Sapindales; Rutaceae
Description: Citrus clementina (C. clementina) long non-coding RNA (CCLE_LNC001232)
Source: RNAcentral
CGCCGCAAAGUCUGGGGCCAUUCCGAGUCCGGCGGAAGAACUUCGCCCACGCCCCCCACCAAGGCUAUAGCCCACCCGAUUUUUGGCCAUAUAGCCUUGCUGGGGGGUCUUGGCACCCCGACCUUCGGGGGCUGCUUUUUGGGCGCGGCUGUGCCCGUGGCCUAUUUUUGGCGCACGGAGGCCGCCUGCAAAGUCUGGGGCCUUUCCGAGUCCGGUGGACGAACUUCGCCCGCGGCCCGCCCCAAGGCAAUAGCCCACCCGUUUUUUGGCCAUUUUUCCGCUGGGGGGUCUUGGCACCCCGACCUUCGGGGGCUGAUUUUUCGACGCGGCUGUGCCCGUGGCCUAUUUUUGGCACACGGAGGCCGCCCGCAAAGUCUGGGGCCAUUCCGAGUCCGGCGGACGAACUUCGCCGACGUCCCCCAUCAUGGCUAUAGCCCACCCGUUUUUUGGCCAUUUUUCCGCUGGGGGGUCUUGGCACCCCGAUCUUCGGGGGCUGAUUUUUGGGAGCGGCUGUGCCCGUAGCCUAUUUUGGGCACACGGAGCCCACCCGCAAAGUCUGGGGCCAUUCCGAGUCCGGCGGACGAACAUCGCCCACGCCCCCCACUAAGGCUAUAGCCCAGCCGUUUUUUGGCCAUAUAGCCUUGCUGGGGGGUCUUGGCACCCCGACCUUCGGGGGCUGAUUUUUGGGCGCGGCUGUGCCCGUAGCCUAUUUUUGGCACACGGAGGCCGCCCGCAAAGGCUGGGGCCUUUCCGAGUCCGGCGGACGAACUUCGCGCACGCCCCCCACCAAGGCUAUAGCCCACCCGUUUUUUGGCCAUAUAGCUUUGCUGGGGGGUCUUGGCACCCCGACCUUCGGGGGCUGAUUUUUGGGCGCGAUUGUGCCCGUGGCCUAUUUUUGGCACACGGAAGCCGCCCGCAAAGUCUGGGGCCAUUCCGAGUCCGGCGGAAGAACUUCGCCCACGCCCCCCACCAAGGCUAUAGCCCACCCGAUUUUUGGCCAUAUAGCCUUGCUGGGGGGUCUUGGCACCCCGACCUUCGGGGGCUGAAUUUUGGGCGCGGCUGUGCCCGUGGCCUAUUUUUGGCGCACGGAGUCCGCCCGCAAAGUCUGGGGCCAUUCCGAGUCCGGCGGACGAACUUCGCCCGCGCCCCCACCAAGGCAAUAGCCCACCCGUUUUUUGGCCAUUUUUCCUUUGGGGGGUCUUGGCACCCCGAUCAUCGGGGGCUGAUUGUUGGGCGCGGCUGUGCCCGUAGCCUAUUUUGGGCACACGGAGCCCACCCGCAAUGUCUGGGGCCAUUCCGAGUCCGGCAGACGAACUUCGCCCACGCCCCCCACCAAGGCUAUAGCCCACCCGUUUUUUGGCCAUAUAGCCUUGCUGGGGGGUCUUGGCACCCCGACCUUCGGGGGCUGAUUUUUGGGCGCGGCUGUGCCCGUGGCCUAUUUCUGGCACACGGAGGCCGCCCGCAAAGUCUGGGGCCAUUCUGAGUCCGGCGGACGAACUUCGCCCACGGUCCCCACCCAGGCUAUAGCCCACCCGUUUUUUGGCCAUUUUUCCGCUGGGGGGUCUUGGCACCCCGACCUUCGGCGGCUGAUUUUUGGGCGCGGCUGUGCCCGUGGCCUAUUUUUGGCACACGGAGGCCGCCCUCAAAGUCUGGGGCCAUUCCGAGUCCGGCGGACGAACUUCGCCUGCGCCCCCCACCAAGGC